UACGGGGGGAGCAAGCGUUGUUCGGAUUUACUGGGCGUAAAGGGCGCGUAGGCGGUCGUGACAAGUCACUUGUGAAAUCUCCGGGCUUAACUCGGAACGGUCAAGUGAUACUGUCGGACUAGAGUACAGAAGGGGCAACUGGAAUUCUCGGUGUAGCGGUGAAAUGCGUAGAUAUCGAGAGGAACACCUGCGGCGAAGGCGGGUUGCUGGGCUGAUACUGACGCUGAGACGCGAAAGCGUGGGUAGCGAACAGG
This 254-nucleotide ribosomal RNA is filed under the name uncultured bacterium. RNAcentral's name for it is "partial 16S ribosomal RNA". It matches the Rfam family "Bacterial small subunit ribosomal RNA", at positions 524 to 776 of the family's 1533-position model. The record is from RNAcentral.